This 253-nucleotide ribosomal RNA is filed under the name uncultured bacterium. RNAcentral describes it as "partial 16S ribosomal RNA". It matches the Rfam family "Bacterial small subunit ribosomal RNA", at positions 524 to 776 of the family's 1533-position model. The record is from RNAcentral.
UACGGAGGGCGCAAGCGUUAAUCGGAAUCACUGGGCGUAAAGCGUGCGUAGGCUGCUUGAUAAGUCAGACGUGAAAUCCCUCGGCUCAACCGGGGAACUGCGUUUGAUACUGUCGAGCUCGAGUCCUGGAGAGGGUGGCGGAAUUCCUGGUGUAGGAGUGAAAUCCGUAGAUAUCAGGAGGAACACCGGUGGCGAAGGCGGCCACCUGGACAGGUACUGACGCUGAGACUCGAAAGCGUGGGGAGCAAACAGG